RNAcentral lists this small nucleolar RNA (170 nucleotides) under Rhizoctonia solani AG-1 IA. Its description in RNAcentral is "small nucleolar RNA snR35". It matches the Rfam family "small nucleolar RNA snR35". Lineage: Eukaryota; Fungi; Basidiomycota; Agaricomycetes; Cantharellales; Ceratobasidiaceae. The record is from Rfam by way of RNAcentral.
UUUGUGCGGCGGCACGGCUCUGCAAUUUCCCCAGUGUUGCUCACCUCUGCGCAAUUGUUUCUACGCGGUAGUUCGAGUGUCAAGCCGUGCUCUGAGCGAUUUGGACGUCUUAGCACCCAAUUGUCUUCUUGUGCACGCAAGUUAGACGGGGGUCGGUGGUUCAUACAUCC